This 750-nucleotide ribosomal RNA is filed under the name uncultured bacterium. Its description in RNAcentral is "bacterial SSU rRNA". It matches the Rfam family "Bacterial small subunit ribosomal RNA", at positions 8 to 804 of the family's 1533-position model. The record is from RNAcentral.
AGGGUUUGAUCAUGGCUCAGAACGAACGCUGGCGGCAGGCCUAACACAUGCAAGUCGAGCGCGCCCUUCGGGGUGAGCGGCGGACGGGUUAGUAACGCGUGGGAACGUACCCAGAUCUACGGAAUAGCCUUUGGAAACGAAGAGUAAUACCGUAUACGCCCUUCGGGGGAAAGAUUUAUCGGAUUUGGAUCGGCCCGCGUUAGAUUAGAUAGUUGGUGGGGUAAUGGCCUACCAAGUCUACGAUCUAUAGCUGGUUUUAGAGGAUGAUCAGCAACACUGGGACUGAGACACGGCCCAGACUCCUACGGGAGGCAGCAGUGGGGAAUCUUAGACAAUGGGCGCAAGCCUGAUCUAGCCAUGCCGCGUGAGUGAUGAAGGCCUUAGGGUCGUAAAGCUCUUUCGCCAGGGAUGAUAAUGACAGUACCUGGUAAAGAAACCCCGGCUAACUCCGUGCCAGCAGCCGCGGUAAUACGGAGGGGGUUAGCGUUGUUCGGAAUUACUGGGCGUAAAGCGCGCGUAGGCGGACCAGAAAGUUGGGGGUGAAAUCCCGGGGCUCAACCCCGGAACUGCCUCCAAAACUCCUGAUCUAGAGUUCGAGAGAGGUGAGUGGAACUCCGAGUGUAGAGGUGAAAUUCGUAGAUAUUCGGAAGAACACCAGUGGCGAAGGCGGCUCACUGGCUCGAUACUGACGCUGAGGUGCGAAAGUGUGGGGAGCAAACAGGAUUAGAUACCCUGGUAGUCCACACCGUA